Molecule: non-coding RNA, 1736 nt
Organism: Nicotiana tabacum (common tobacco)
Lineage: Eukaryota; Viridiplantae; Streptophyta; Magnoliopsida; Solanales; Solanaceae
Source: RefSeq, a predicted model, not a curated record
UUCCCAUUCACCCUCAUUUUAAGACUAUUUUAUCUUAAAUAACAAAAACCUCAACAAGAACUUAUUGAGCUAGGCUUCUUCCGAAAUGAAUCUGGCCAACUGGUGGUCAGUCUCACAGGCGUACCACCCUUUAAAUCACCUUACGAGCUUGAAUCAUUAUUAACAGAAUGAGGUAGAAGAUCCAACGGUGAGCAUGUUCAUGUCAAACAAAUAACACUGAAAAGACUUAAUUCAAACACACAAGCAAUAUUGCUAAACAAAUUGAAGAUUAAAGCCACCUUUAACAGCCAAACAUGCUAAUCUUAAGUAAUCAAGCACAAAUCUAUAUAUCUAUAUAAUUGAGGGAAUAGUAUAGCUGAUGUGGCACCUUCCACAGAAAAGGAUUGAUAUAUUUCUUUUUCCCUGUUUAUUUACGUUUUCCCCUAUUUUCUCCUAUUUAUGUUCUUUUAUGAGAAAAGAAAAAACUCAAACGUCGCGUUCUUCUCUUCAAUCCUUUUUGUAACUGAAAUUGCUUGCAAGGCCUUUGCUAUUCAACUCUCUCGCUCCUGUCGCAGAUGCCUUUCGCCCUUCUAUACAACGCCCUUUCAGAGCCUUCUCCUCUAUUCUAAAUUACCACGAAUAGUUGAUUUUUUUUUAUUAGUUGAAGAUUUCAGCCUCAUAGGGCGAAUCGUUUGCGGCAGGAUAAUGGAAGAUUUGGUUAUCAAAAUUCAAAGGCGGAUUAGGGUGAUUUCAGAUUGAAUACAUUCCUACGACCUACGACAACAGCUUACUUCAAUUGGGUUCGGAAAGAUGGUGCGGUGGAAGAUCCAAUCUUACUUCUGAUGUCUAUAUGCCCAGGUGAGUAUAAAAUUACAAAUUAUGGAUACCAAUUAUAGAGUUUGAUCUAUUUCCUGUAAGGUAUUUUAAGUUGAUUUUGAUAGUAGUAGUAGUAGUAGGGACAUAUAUGGGACUAAGGAGGAGCAAAAUCAAAGUCAAUGAGUUCCCACAAAUGGGGUCUAGGAGGACUAAAGAGGAGAAAAUGAGAAAUUUGUUCGAUUGAUGCAGUAAAGUGCUUCGGCAUUGGGCUUUACUUUUCUUUUUGUGCAAUUCUUUUUUCUGCCUUUAACUAGAAGCUCCAGUUCAUUUCGGUAGUUUGUAUCUUAUCAAUGUGCAUUCAUUUGAGGCUUUGCUUGGAACUAUGAAUAUGAAAUUUGCACACGGUGGUGUAGUCUUAAUUUUGACUCCCUGUGGUGUGAGUAGAAGAAAUAGUUUACAUAAAAUUUUAUAAAUUGGUGAGAGAAGAAGAGAAUGAUAUUUAAGAAAAUUAUAUAAGGCAUGAGAAAGGCUACGAGGGUAAUAUUCAAGAAAGCUAUAGAAGGCAUGAGAAAGGCUUUCACUUUGACGCGCAAAUAAAUAAUGAGUUUAUAUGGAAAAAGAAAGGUAUCACGGGUUCUUUAUGUUUAUCAAGCUUCAAAUGCUAGAUCUUUAAUAACCAUAAAUACACAUCUUGAUCUUUCAUACUGCUUUCAUACUAUUGAUGCAGCAUUAUCAAAGAUAAAGCUAUAUUCCGUAUAUGCAUAAAUAUCUUUUGCCCAAGAGCAUACUGAAAAAAGAAAACGUGAUUGACAAAUUCAAAUUUUCUUUCUAUUAUUUUACAAGUUCUCAAUAUAAUGAGUGGUCCAUCAGUUUUAACUGUCUUUGGACUUUAGUGGAGUAAUGUUAUAUUUUUUUGUCUCUUUUUUGUGUAGAACAGUUGA